RNAcentral lists this ribosomal RNA (484 nucleotides) under uncultured bacterium. RNAcentral describes it as "partial 16S ribosomal RNA". It matches the Rfam family "Bacterial small subunit ribosomal RNA", at positions 30 to 507 of the family's 1533-position model. The record is from RNAcentral.
AUUGAACGCUGGCGGUAGGCCUAACACAUGCAAGUCGAGCGGCAGCACAGUACUUGCUCGCGCAUUCAGGGGGCGACGGGCGAGUGAUGGAUAGGAACCUCCCAGGCUGCGGGGUCUAGGGUGAGGACGCGGGGAAACAUACGCCAAUAGCGCAUAGGGCCAACGUGGGAAAGCAUCGGAUCUUCCGCUCUUACGUGAGCCGAGGUCGGAUUAGCUAGUUGGCGGGGUAAAGGCGUACCAAGGCGACGAUCCGUAACUGGUCUGAGAGGAUGAUCAGUCACACUGGAACUGAGACACGGUCCAGACUCCUACGGGAGGCAGCAGUGGGGAAUAUUGGACAAUGGGCGAAAGCCUGAUCCAGCCAUGCCGCGUGUGUGAAGAAGGUCUUCGGAUUGUAAAGCACUUUAAGUGGGGAGGAAAGGCAGUAAGUUAAUACCUUGCUGUUUUGACGUUACCAAAAGAAUAAGCACCGGCUAACUUCGUG